This 77-nucleotide transfer RNA is filed under the name bacterium. RNAcentral's name for it is "tRNA-His". It matches the Rfam family "tRNA". Rfam says of the family: Transfer RNA (tRNA) molecules are approximately 80 nucleotides in length. Their secondary structure includes four short double-helical elements and three loops (D, anti-codon, and T loops). The record is from RNAcentral.
GUGGCCGUAGCCCAGUUGGUUAGAGCGCCAGAUUGUGGCUCUGGAAGUCGCGGGUUCAACUCCCGUCGGUCACCCCA